RNAcentral lists this long non-coding RNA (223 nucleotides) under Fukomys damarensis (Damara mole-rat). RNAcentral's name for it is "lncRNA (ENSFDAG00000023353.1)". The record is from RNAcentral. Lineage: Eukaryota; Metazoa; Chordata; Mammalia; Rodentia; Bathyergidae.
GAAAGUCACAUGACCAGAAGGGCUUGGGGGCCAGGCCUCCCUGGAGCAGCAGAUCCCAGUAGGGGUUGCUGGGCCACCAGAAACAUUGGCUGGGAGUCUGUUGCUGACUGAGCAUUCAGGUGGCUCUCAUGAUCUGGAAUCCAGGCAGCACUGUAGAAGUAUGAGCAGUAAGUACUUGGAAAUCAGUAGCUGCUUUUUCAUAGGGCAACAUAGGGCACAGAUC